Molecule: ribosomal RNA, 427 nt
Filed under: uncultured bacterium
Lineage: Bacteria
Also listed under: 1 other name
Description: bacterial SSU rRNA
Rfam family: Bacterial small subunit ribosomal RNA
Source: RNAcentral
UAAGGAGUUUUCGGCAAUGGGGGAAACCCUGACCGAGCAACGCCGCGUGAGUGCUAAGGUCUUCGGAUUGUAAAGCUCUGUUGUAAGGGACGAAUGGCAGGGAGAGGAAAUGCUCUCUGUUUGACGGUACCUUAUUAGAAAGCCACGGCUAACUACGUGCCAGCAGCCGCGGUAAUACGUAGGUGGCAAGCGUUAUCCGGAAUUAUUGGGCGUAAAGAGUGAGCAGGCGGUACGGUAAGUUUGAAGUAAAAUCGUGGGGCUCAACCCCAUCCAGCUUCAAAAACUGCCGAACUAGAGUGCGAGAGAGGUAAGCGGAACUCCAUGUGUAGCGGUGAAAUGCGUAGAUAUAUGGAAGAACACCAGUGGCGAAGGCGGCUUACUAGCUCGAUACUGACGCUCAGUCACGAAAGCGUGGGGAGCAAAUAGG